Molecule: long non-coding RNA, 293 nt
Organism: Myotis brandtii (Brandt's bat)
Lineage: Eukaryota; Metazoa; Chordata; Mammalia; Chiroptera; Vespertilionidae
Exons: 3
Source: RefSeq, a predicted model, not a curated record
CAUCUGGAAGCUCUGAGGAGCUCCAGGGGGACUUCGGGAAGGAGAAAGCAUCACUCGGAAGUGUUGGAGCCAAGCAUUGCAGAUUGCCUCUCCCACAGCACCAUUUGUCCCCUGCUGGAUUCCCAUUGCCUAGAACAGGAGUGGGGGACGUCUGGUCCAUGGGUCGCUUAAGGUCUGAGGACUCAUUUGGUCUGGCCUGCCAAGGCAUUAGGGAAAAACUGUUUGGAGGAAAAACCAGAUGAUGACAGUGGAGGGGGGUGUGAAUGACCUCAGCCAGUAGCGGUUCCAUCACU